UUGCCUUGUACACACCGCUCGUCACGCAAAUUUAUA
Molecule: ribosomal RNA, 36 nt
Filed under: Plasmodium vivax (malaria parasite P. vivax)
Lineage: Eukaryota; Apicomplexa; Aconoidasida; Haemosporida; Plasmodiidae
Description: rRNA PVP01_MIT02900
Source: RNAcentral